RNAcentral lists this ribosomal RNA (460 nucleotides) under uncultured bacterium. RNAcentral's name for it is "partial 16S ribosomal RNA". It matches the Rfam family "Bacterial small subunit ribosomal RNA", at positions 338 to 795 of the family's 1533-position model. The record is from RNAcentral.
CCUACGGGCGGCAGCAGUGAGGAAUAUUGGUCAAUGGGCGGAAGCCUGAACCAGCCAAGUAGCGUGCAGGAUGACGGCCCUACGGGUUGUAAACUGCUUUUAUACGGGAAUAACGCGCCUUACGUGUAGGGCUUUGCAUGUACCGUAUGAAUAAGGACCGGCUAAUUCCGUGCCAGCCGCCGCGGUAAUACGGAAGGUCCGGGCGUUAUCCGGAUGUAUGGGGUUUAAAGGGAGCGUAGGCCGCAUGUCAAGCGUGCUGUGAAAUGUCCGGGCUCAACCCGGGCCUUGCAGCGCGAACUGGCGUGCUUGAGUGCGCGGAAAGCAGGCGGAAUUCGUGGUGUAGCGGUGAAAUGCUUAGAUAUGACGAAGAACCCCGAUUGCGAAGGCAGCUUGCUGCAGCGGAACUGACGCUGAUGCUCGAAAGCGCGGGUAUCGAACAGGAUUAGAUACCCUUGUAGUC